GACGAACGCUGGCGGCGUGCUUAACACAUGCAAGUCGAACGGUGAACGAGGGAGCUUGCUCCCUCCGGAUCAGUGGCGAACGGGUGAGUAACACGUGAGCAAUCUGCCCCGAACUCUGGGAUAAGCGUUGGAAACGACGUCUAAUACCGGAUACGACGCGGGAGGGCAUCCUCUCCGCGUGGAAAGAACUUCGGUUCGGGAUGAGCUCGCGGCCUAUCAGCUUGUUGGUGAGGUAACGGCUCACCAAGGCGACGACGGGUAGCCGGCCUGAGAGGGUGACCGGCCACACUGGGACUGAGACACGGCCCAGACUCCUACGGGAGGCAGCAGUGGGGAAUAUUGCACAAUGGGCGCAAGCCUGAUGCAGCAACGCCGCGUGAGGGAAGACGGCCUUCGGGUUGUAAACCUCUUUUAGCAGGGAAGAAGCGAAAGUGACGGUACCUGCAGAAAAAGCACCGGCUAACUACGUG
This 470-nucleotide ribosomal RNA is filed under the name uncultured bacterium. RNAcentral describes it as "partial 16S ribosomal RNA". It matches the Rfam family "Bacterial small subunit ribosomal RNA", at positions 28 to 507 of the family's 1533-position model. The record is from RNAcentral.